CCUACGGGUGGCAGCAGUGAGGAAUAUUGGUCAAUGGACGAGAGUCUGAACGAGCAAAGUAGCGUGAAGGAUGACGGCCCGAUGGGUUGUAAACUGCGUUUAUAGGGGAAUAAAACAGGGUAUGCAUACCCUCUUGUAUGUACCAUAUGAAUAAGGAUCGGCUAACUCCGUGCCAGCAGCCGCGGUAAUACGGAGGAUCCGAGCGUUAUCCGGAUUUAUUGGGUUUAAAGGGAGCGUAGGGGGUUUGUUAAGUCAGUUGUGAAAGUUUGCGGCUCAACCGUAAAAUUGCAGUUGAAACUGGCAGUCUUGAGUCCAGUAGAGGUGGGCGGACUUCGUGGUGUAGCGUUUAAAUGCUUAGAUAUCACGAAGAACUCCGAUUGCGAAGGCAGCUCACUGGACUGCAACUGACACUGAUGCUCGAAAGUGUGGGUAUCAAACAGGAUUAGAUACCCCUGUAGUC
RNAcentral lists this ribosomal RNA (460 nucleotides) under uncultured bacterium. Its description in RNAcentral is "partial 16S ribosomal RNA". It matches the Rfam family "Bacterial small subunit ribosomal RNA", at positions 338 to 795 of the family's 1533-position model. The record is from RNAcentral.